Molecule: ribosomal RNA, 253 nt
Filed under: uncultured prokaryote
Description: partial 16S ribosomal RNA
Rfam family: Bacterial small subunit ribosomal RNA
Source: RNAcentral
ACGAAGGGUGCAAGCGUUAAUCGGAAUUACUGGGCGUAAAGCGCGCGUAGGUGGUUUGAUAAGUUGGAUGUGAAAGCCCUGGGCUCAACCUGGGAACUGCAUUGGAUACUGGCUUACUAGAGUGCGGUAGAGGGGUGUGGAAUUCCCGGUGUAGCAGUGAAAUGCGUAGAUAUCGGGAGGAACAUCUGUGGCGAAGGCGACACCCUGGACCAGCACUGACACUGAGGCACGAAAGCGUGGGGAGCAAACAGGA